Molecule: small nucleolar RNA, 130 nt
Organism: Perognathus longimembris pacificus (Pacific pocket mouse)
Lineage: Eukaryota; Metazoa; Chordata; Mammalia; Rodentia; Heteromyidae
Product: small nucleolar RNA SNORA40
Exons: 1
Source: RefSeq, a predicted model, not a curated record
UCCACGUGUCUAUUGUAUGUCUCAUAAAACUUGUGUUACCCUUACAGACAGGUGCAAACAGUAAAUCCUCUUUUGCAACCCAGAACUCAUUGUUGAGUAUGAGUUUUUGGUACAUGUAAGAAGGAAUAUA